AUGAGGGUCCAUUUUGGGGAGAUACAAUUUUGGAGCAAAUGUUCUUUGGUUUUAGGCCUAUCAAGACAUGUUCCUGACCACCUGGAAGACUGUGUGACUGGGCAGAGAAGAGAGUGCUUUUACCAGCUUCAUCCUCCUUCCAGGAUGUUGACCAAGGCAGGAAGAUUCGGUAGCCUCUCAAGAAAGACUAGUGAUGAAUUCAUUUUGCCAAGACAGAAAGCAAAGUAAUAGAACCAGAGUAAUGGGAUGACUGAGCCAAGGUGUGAAAUCAAAUAAAAACAUAGAUUUGAGGACGCCAUGAAGAUGAAAGGAACUUGAUUAUAAAGUGACAUGCUGGCCAGGCACAGUGGCUCACACCUGUAAUUCCAGCACUUUGGGAGGCCAAGGCAGGUGGAUCGUCUGAGGUUAGUUCUAUACCAGCCUGACCAAUAUGGUGAAACCCUGUCUCUACGAAAAAUACAAAAAUUAGCCAGGCAUGGUGGUGUGUGCCUGUAGUCCAAACUACUCAGGAUGCUGAGACAACAGAAUUGCUUGAACCUGGGAGGCAGAGGUUGCAGUGAGCUGAGAUCAUGCCACUGCACAACAGCCUGGGUGACAGAGCAAGAUGUUGUCUCAAAAAAAUAAAAUAGAAAAUAAAGUUACAUGUUACAAAAUGUAAAGUCUGCCAGCAUCAAUGUCUUCUGCAUCACCUUGGUGUCCUCACUUGCAUUGAUUCAACUGCACAAAUCUUCCGCUGCUCUUGCAAAUUCACUCUUCACCUGGCAGAGACCUUAGCUUAGAUCCCAGAAAUCUUUCUGAUUGUAAGAAAGGUCUUAAGAGAUCAAGCUAUUUAUUUCACAAUAACUGAGACAC
This 852-nucleotide long non-coding RNA is filed under the name Callithrix jacchus (white-tufted-ear marmoset). RNAcentral's name for it is "lncRNA (ENSCJAG00000072751.1)". The record is from RNAcentral. Lineage: Eukaryota; Metazoa; Chordata; Mammalia; Primates; Cebidae.